UGCCAGCAGCCGCGGUAAGACGAACCGUACGAACGUUAUUCGGAAUCACUGGGCUUAAAGAGUUCGUAGGCGGCCGUGUAGGUGGGAUGUGAAAGCCCUCGUCUCAACCGAGGAAUUGCGUUCCAAACCACAUGGCUUGAGGAAGAUAGAGGUGAGCGGAACUGAUGGUGGAGCGGUGAAAUGCGUUGAUAUUAUCAGGAACACCAGAGGCGAAGGCGGCUCACUGGGUCUUUUCUGACGCUGAGGAACGAAAGCUAGGGGAGCAAACGGGAUUAGAUA
Molecule: ribosomal RNA, 279 nt
Filed under: uncultured bacterium
Lineage: Bacteria
Description: partial 16S ribosomal RNA
Rfam family: Bacterial small subunit ribosomal RNA
Source: RNAcentral